RNAcentral lists this transfer RNA (17 nucleotides) under Stenodactylus doriae. RNAcentral's name for it is "partial tRNA-Cys". The record is from RNAcentral. Lineage: Eukaryota; Metazoa; Chordata; Lepidosauria; Squamata; Gekkonidae.
CCGGGGCUUCUCCCGAU